CAUGCUGAAUAUGCCGGCUCUCGUUAGAUCACCGAAGUCAAGCAUCAUUGGGCGCGGUCAGUACUUGGGAGGGUGACCACCUGGGAACACCGCGUGCCGUU
This 101-nucleotide ribosomal RNA is filed under the name Caerostris darwini. The record is from RNAcentral. Lineage: Eukaryota; Metazoa; Arthropoda; Arachnida; Araneae; Araneidae.